RNAcentral lists this ribosomal RNA (1556 nucleotides) under Escherichia coli. RNAcentral describes it as "bacterial SSU rRNA". It matches the Rfam family "Bacterial small subunit ribosomal RNA". The record is from RNAcentral. Lineage: Bacteria; Pseudomonadati; Pseudomonadota; Gammaproteobacteria; Enterobacterales; Enterobacteriaceae.
UUAAAUUGAAGAGUUUGAUCAUGGCUCAGAUUGAACGCUGGCGGCAGGCCUAACACAUGCAAGUCGAACGGUAACAGGAAGCAGCUUGCUUCUUUGCUGACGAGUGGCGGACGGGUGAGUAAUGUCUGGGAAACUGCCUGAUGGAGGGGGAUAACUACUGGAAACGGUAGCUAAUACCGCAUAACGUCGCAAGACCAAAGAGGGGGACCUUCGGGCCUCUUGCCAUCGGAUGUGCCCAGAUGGGAUUAGCUUGUUGGUGGGGUAACGGCUCACCAAGGCGACGAUCCCUAGCUGGUCUGAGAGGAUGACCAGCCACACUGGAACUGAGACACGGUCCAGACUCCUACGGGAGGCAGCAGUGGGGAAUAUUGCACAAUGGGCGCAAGCCUGAUGCAGCCAUGCCGCGUGUAUGAAGAAGGCCUUCGGGUUGUAAAGUACUUUCAGCGGGGAGGAAGGGAGUAAAGUUAAUACCUUUGCUCAUUGACGUUACCCGCAGAAGAAGCACCGGCUAACUCCGUGCCAGCAGCCGCGGUAAUACGGAGGGUGCAAGCGUUAAUCGGAAUUACUGGGCGUAAAGCGCACGCAGGCGGUUUGUUAAGUCAGAUGUGAAAUCCCCGGGCUCAACCUGGGAACUGCAUCUGAUACUGGCAAGCUUGAGUCUCGUAGAGGGGGGUAGAAUUCCAGGUGUAGCGGUGAAAUGCGUAGAGAUCUGGAGGAAUACCGGUGGCGAAGGCGGCCCCCUGGACGAAGACUGACGCUCAGGUGCGAAAGCGUGGGGAGCAAACAGGAUUAGAUACCCUGGUAGUCCACGCCGUAAACGAUGUCGACUUGGAGGUUGUGCCCUUGAGGCGUGGCUUCCGGAGCUAACGCGUUAAGUCGACCGCCUGGGGAGUACGGCCGCAAGGUUAAAACUCAAAUGAAUUGACGGGGGCCCGCACAAGCGGUGGAGCAUGUGGUUUAAUUCGAUGCAACGCGAAGAACCUUACCUGGUCUUGACAUCCACAGAACUUUCCAGAGAUGGAUUGGUGCCUUCGGGAACUGUGAGACAGGUGCUGCAUGGCUGUCGUCAGCUCGUGUUGUGAAAUGUUGGGUUAAGUCCCGCAACGAGCGCAACCCUUAUCCUUUGUUGCCAGCGGUCCGGCCGGGAACUCAAAGGAGACUGCCAGUGAUAAACUGGAGGAAGGUGGGGAUGACGUCAAGUCAUCAUGGCCCUUACGACCAGGGCUACACACGUGCUACAAUGGCGCAUACAAAGAGAAGCGACCUCGCGAGAGCAAGCGGACCUCAUAAAGUGCGUCGUAGUCCGGAUUGGAGUCUGCAACUCGACUCCAUGAAGUCGGAAUCGCUAGUAAUCGUGGAUCAGAAUGCCACGGUGAAUACGUUCCCGGGCCUUGUACACACCGCCCGUCACACCAUGGGAGUGGGUUGCAAAAGAAGUAGGUAGCUUAACCUUCGGGAGGGCGCUUACCACUUUGUGAUUCAUGACUGGGGUGAAGUCGUAACAAGGUAACCGUAGGGGAACCUGCGGUUGGAUCACCUCCUUACCUUAAAGAAGC